AGGAGUGCCUUCGGGAGCCGUAACACAGGUGCUGCAUGGCUGUCGUCAGCUCGUGUCGUGAGAUGUUGGGUUAAGUCCCGCAACGAGCGCAACCCUUGUCAUUAGUUGCCAUCAUUAAGUUGGGCACUCUAAUGAGACUGCCGGUGACAAGCCGGAGGAAGGUGGGGAUGACGUCAAGUCCUCAUGGCCCUUAUGACCAGGGCUUCACACGUCAUACAAUGGUCGGUACAGAGGGUAGCCAAGCCGCGAGGUGGAGCCAAUCUCACAAAACCGAUCGUAGUCCGGAUUGCACUCUGCAACUCGAGUGCAUGAAGUCGGAAUCGCUAGUAAUCGCAGGUCAGCAUACUGCGGUGAAUACGUUCCCGG
This 366-nucleotide ribosomal RNA is filed under the name uncultured Neisseria sp. RNAcentral's name for it is "bacterial SSU rRNA". It matches the Rfam family "Bacterial small subunit ribosomal RNA", at positions 1010 to 1377 of the family's 1533-position model. Lineage: Bacteria; Pseudomonadati; Pseudomonadota; Betaproteobacteria; Neisseriales; Neisseriaceae. The record is from RNAcentral.